UGAGGGAUAUUGCACAAUGGGCGAAAGCCUGAUGCAGCAACGCCGCGUGAGGGAUGACGGUCUUCGGAUUGUAAACCUCUGUCCUCAGUGAAGAAGAAAGUGACGGUAGCUGAGGAGGAAGCCACGGCUAACUACGUGCCAGCAGCCGCGGUAAUACGUAGGUGGCAAGCGUUGUCCGGAAUUACUGGGUGUAAAGGGAGCGCAGGCGGGCGUGCAAGUCAGCUGUGAAAUCCAUGGGCUUAACCCGUGGGCUGCAGUUGAAACUGUAUGUCUUGAGUGAAGUAGAGGUAGGCGGAAUUCCGAGUGUAGCGGUAAAAUGCGUAGAUAUUCGGAGGAACACCGGUGGCGAAGGCGGCCUACUGGGCUUUAACUGACGCUGAGGCUCGAAAGUGUGGGGAGCAAACA
RNAcentral lists this ribosomal RNA (405 nucleotides) under uncultured bacterium. RNAcentral's name for it is "bacterial SSU rRNA". It matches the Rfam family "Bacterial small subunit ribosomal RNA", at positions 355 to 774 of the family's 1533-position model. The record is from RNAcentral.